AGUGAACGCUGGCGGUAGGCCUAACACAUGCAAGUCGAACGGCAGCACAGUAAGAGCUUGCUCUUACGGGUGGCGAGUGGCGGACGGGUGAGGAAUACAUCGGAAUCUACUUUUUCGUGGGGGAUAACGUAGGGAAACUUACGCUAAUACCGCAUACGACCUACGGGUGAAAGCAGGGGAUCUUCGGACCUUGCGCGAUUGAAUGAGCCGAUGUCGGAUUAGCUAGUUGGCGGGGUAAAGGCCCACCAAGGCGACGAUCCGUAGCUGGUCUGAGAGGAUGAUCAGUCACACUGGAACUGAGACACGGUCCAGACUCCUACGGGAGGCAGCAGUGGGGAAUAUUGGACAAUGGGCGUAAGCCUGAUCCAGCCAUACCGCGUGGGUGAAGAAGGCCUUCGGGUUGUAAAGCACUUUUGUUGGGAAAGAAAAGCAGCAGGUUAAUACCCCGCUGUUCUGACGGUACCCAAAGAAUAAGCACCGGCUAACUUCGUG
RNAcentral lists this ribosomal RNA (492 nucleotides) under uncultured bacterium. RNAcentral describes it as "partial 16S ribosomal RNA". It matches the Rfam family "Bacterial small subunit ribosomal RNA", at positions 29 to 507 of the family's 1533-position model. The record is from RNAcentral.